AAUGUUCUCUCUCGCCAUCGCCAUAUUGAUAUAAAAGUUUGUCUUGUGAAAUACACGAUGUGCAGUAUUCCUGUAUGAUGUAGUUAUCCAAUCCUUCUUGUUGUGUCAAAUAUAAAUUUUAAUUUUUAGUUAUUAAAUUCUACGUGAAAAGAUCAUAUUAAUACAUAUAAUUAUAUAUUGAAAGCUAGCUUUUGAAUUAAAACCAUGUGAAUUGAAUCUUCGGAUAUAUAAUAGUAACGUCAAUAAAUUUUGGUUUAGGUUUUCAAAUACACAUUUGCAUUGAAACUUGAAGCAGUUUUAUUUUAAGGACGCUACUGAUUUUCACAUACGUAUUUGCAUAGAAUCUUGAAGUUUAUUUUUAAGAAGGCUUCUAACAAGUUUAAAGUUAUCAAGAAUUUUGUUUCAUAUAAUUCUGCUAUUAGAGAAACAUAAUAAGUUUUAAAUUCUGGAAAGAUAUUUGCAUUUUUGAGCAUACGGCAUUUUCCGGGACCGCUAAACUUUUUAUAAGAUUAAAACGAUUUAAAUUGUAUCUUCAGCUAUAAUGCAUUAAUUUUGGUUUGAAUGUCCACACACAUCAAUGCAUUAAUGGUUGAAAUAAUAAUUCUAUUUUAAAAAGGGCUUUUGGUUUUCACACCCACAUUUGCGUUGAGACUACUGCGAGAGAGAAGUAGGUUUAUUUUUAAGAAGGCUUCUGAAGGCUUCUGGUAAGUCUACAUUUCACGAGAAUUUUGUCUCAUAUAAUCCUGCUAUUAGAGCAACAUAAUAAGUUUUAAAUUCUGUAAAGCUAUUUGCAUUUUUGAGUAUAUGGCAUUUUCUAGGACAGCAUAAAUUUAUGUAAGGUAUUGCUUUUUCGUAUUAUUUCCAUUAAAAUUUUAAUUUCUAGUUAUAUUUUACUUUAAAAUAUCAUAUUUACAUUAUAAUUAAGUGUUGAAAAUGGAUUUGUAGAUUAAAACAAUUUAAAUUGAAUAUUCGGGUAUAAUGCAUUAAUUUUUGUUUGGAUGUCCACACACAUCAAUGCAUUAAUGGUCGAAAUAAUUCUAUUUUAAGAAGAGCUUCUGUUUUAAUUGCUACUUUAAAAGAUCAUAUUCACAUUAUAAUUACAUGUUGCGAUCUGAUAUUUGGAUUAAAGGUUUUCACAUACACUUUGCAUUGAAACUUAAAGUAGUUUUAUUUUAAGAAAGUUACUGGUAAGUCUACAUUUAUCAAGGAUCUUAUUUCAAAUAAUUCUGCUAUUAGAAUGAGUAUUAUGUAUUUAGAUUUAAAAAAUUAUUUGCAUUAUUGAACGUACGGCAUGUUCCGGGACCGAUUAAAUUUUUUAAAUAUAAUGUUUCUUUGGAUUAUUUCAAUUAAAAUUUUAACUUUCAAGUAUUAAAUUCUACUUCAAAAGACCAUAUUUACAUGUAAUUAUGUGUUGACAGUUGAUUUUUGUAUUAAUACCAUGCAAAUUAAAUUUUCGGAUGGAAUAAUAUCGACAGUAAAUUUUGGUUUAGAUUUUCACAUACACAUUUACAUUGAAACUUGAAGUAGUUUUAUUUUAAGAAGAUUUCUGAUAAGUCUACAGUUAUCGAGAAGUUUUUUAUAAUUCUGCUAUUAGAGCAACAUAAUAAGUUCUAAAUUAUUCAGACAUUUGCAUUUUUGAACAUACACAGCAUGUUCCGGGAUUAGUAAAGCUUUUUUUAAAUAUUGUCUCUUUUUAUUCUUUUAUAAGUCUUAAUUCGAAAUUAUAAUAAAUACUACUUCGAAAGAUCAUAUUUACAUUUUGAUUAACUACUGAAAGCUGAUUUUUUUAAUUUAAUACGGUAUAAAUUGAAUGUUUAUAUAUAAGAAUAAUAUCACUAGUUUUGAUAAUUUGUAAAUUUGCACACAUUAUUUGCAUUUACACUUGAAGUAAUAUUAUUUUGAGAAGGCUUCUGGUGAGUUCUUCUAAAUUUGUCGACGUUCUUUUAUAUAAUCUUACUAUUAGAAUGACUUGUGUUUUAAGUUCUGGAAAAUUAUUUGCAUUAUUGAAAAUACGGCAUUUUCCAGGACCGUUAAAAUUGUUUGAAAAUAUUGUAUCUUAAAUUUGUAUUAUUUCUAUAAAUCUUAAUUCAAAUUCUGAAGUAAUAAAUUAUUCCGCGAAAAAUAUUUUCAUUAUAAUUAGUUAAGUACUGAUUUAUUUUUGUUAAUUUUUAUUUAAACUUGAGCUUGGUGAAUAUAACCAUAAUGUAAAUAAUUUUGAUUUGCGUUUUAAUAAGUUUUCAUUAACAUUUGGAGAAAUCUUCUGACAUGUCUAAACUUUUUGUGUUUAUUUUUUCAUAUAAUUCUGUUAUUAACUAUGUAUUACGUUUCAAGGUUUGCAAAGUUGUUUGCAUUCGUGAAUAUUUCGGGAUCAGUGUAAGUUUUCUUAAGAUAGUGUCUCUUUGUAUAUGUAGAAAUCUUAUUUCUAUAUCAAUAAAUUUGAAAUAUCAUAUUUUAUUAUAAUAAUCUUAUAAUAACUGAUGUUAACUAAUGAUUUUAUUAUUGCUAUAAUGAAGAAAUAUGUUUCUCUCUUUUCUCGGUAUUGCAAUAAAAUCAAUAAUCUUCAUUUUAUUAAAUUCUUAUUAUUUUUUAUUACAAUCUGGUUGUUUGAAUAUAACGACAAUAACAACAAUUUUAAUUUCUUUUCAUCAUUUCUUACUAACAUUUGCAAUAUUGCUUUUUUAAAAUUGCUUUUAGUAAGCCUAAAAUUUUGAAGUUAUAAAAAUAUAUCAAGUAAUUAUAUCUUUGCGUUUAGAAAUCAUGUAUAUUUAUGAAAUGUAUAUAUUUGUAUAUGCAAUAAUUAUAUAUUAUAAAAAAUUUAUUAUUUUCUUUGUAUAGGUAUAUCUUGAAAAAGAUUUAUGUCCUACGGCAGUUUCCAGGACGUUCUGGAACCUGCCAUUUAGAUACAAUGGCAGAUUCCAGGUCUGUACAUUUAGAUGUA
This is a non-coding RNA of Nylanderia fulva, 2938 nucleotides long. Lineage: Eukaryota; Metazoa; Arthropoda; Insecta; Hymenoptera; Formicidae. The record is from RefSeq and is a predicted model, not a curated record.